UGUGGCAGCCAACUACCAACAAAAAAGCAACAACAGGAUCAGAAAAUGUCUCCACAAGUUUCAAGGUGUUGUUCAAGGCCAUAUGAUGUGAUGUCAAGGGGAUUCGGAACAGGCUGGCAAUGACACCUUCUUCAACAAAACAGUGACCAGAGGGAUUGGCUCAAUCUUCCUUGUUCUGACUGAAUAAAGAACCUUCUACCAAAAGCUCCCAGGGCUAUGCACCAGACCAGACUUGAGCUUUUCCCACUUGUUCCUGGAAGGGAGAUCUGCCAGCAGUGGGGCUGCCCGCAGGAGAGGGCACGAAACAGGGACACCCAGCCCCUGCCCUGCAGCAGCCUGCCCGUGAGCUCUGAAAAGAGACGCUGCGGAGACUUUUAUUUAAGAACAUGGACCAGCCCCUCUGAAGUCAAACGUCUGUUUAAGUCUGCAGGAGACAAGUAAAAUAUGAAGAGCCAGCAAGAAAAACAGAAUGAAAUAUGUGCAAGCCAAGAGCUUGUUUUCCUCCCCAGCCGUCCCCCCCUGCCUGUCACUCAGAUCUCUGACCUAUGCAUCAUCUUGGACUCUGACAUCUCUAUCUGGGUUUUUAUAUUGAGACUAUGUUUAAAUCUUGCCAAGUCUUUCUGACCACCAUCUAUCACAGACUGAUUUGUCUAUCCGCAUGGCUACAAUUUCUCCUCGGGCUUUUACCUUGCAUCUCAACGACUGUGAGAGCUCUUCCUGCAGCUUUACAAGUGCCGCUGGCCAAAACACAGCUGCACAAGUCACGGAUGCCUGCGCAGUGCUUGGACCAUUUCCUCCUCCAUCACAUCACGCCUGAGCUGCUUGUCCUCCCUGGGACGGCUCCUCGUGGCACGCUGCGGCCUCAGCACCUUGCUGGGAUUUCAUCCUUUCCCCAGAAUAGGCAACGGUGCAGCCCCAGUGCUUGUUAACCUUCUUUUAUGUCAC
Long non-coding RNA from Cygnus atratus (black swan), 945 nucleotides. RefSeq lists it as uncharacterized. The transcript is spliced from 3 exons. Lineage: Eukaryota; Metazoa; Chordata; Aves; Anseriformes; Anatidae. The record is from RefSeq and is a predicted model, not a curated record.